UACGUAGGGGGCAAGCGUUGUCCGGAUUUAUUGGGCGUAAAGAGCGUGUAGGCGGCCAGAAAAGUCCGCUGUGAAAACUCGAGGCUCAACUUCGAGCUGUCGGUGGAAACUUUCUGGCUAGAGUCCGGAAGAGGAGAAUGGAAUUCCUGGUGUAGCGGUGAAAUGCGCAGAUAUCAGGAAGAACACCCGUGGCGAAGGCGGUUCUCUGGGACGGUACUGACGCUGAGACGCGAAAGCGUGGGGAGCAAACAGG
RNAcentral lists this ribosomal RNA (253 nucleotides) under uncultured bacterium. Its description in RNAcentral is "partial 16S ribosomal RNA". It matches the Rfam family "Bacterial small subunit ribosomal RNA", at positions 524 to 776 of the family's 1533-position model. The record is from RNAcentral.